GGGGCUGAUUCUGGAUUCGACGGGAUUUGCGAAGCCCUAGGAGCAUGCCGAGGGGCGGUUGGCCUCGUAAAAAGCCGCAAAAAAAUAGUCGCAAACGACGAAAACUAUGCACUAGCAGCUUAAUAACCUGCUCAGAGCCCUUUCUCCCUAGCCUCCGCUCUUAGGACGGGGAUCAAGAGAGGUCAAACCUAAAAGAGAUCGCGUGAAUGUCCUGCCUGGGGCUGAAGCGUUAAAUCCAAAUCAGGCUAGUUUGUGAGUAGCGUGUCCAUCCGCAGCUCACAGGCGAAUGUAAAGAUUGGACUAAGCAUGUAGUGCCGACGGUGUAGUAAUUUCGGACGGGGGUUCAAAUCCCCCCAGCUCCACCA
Molecule: non-coding RNA, 365 nt
Rfam family: transfer-messenger RNA
About the family: Bacterial tmRNA, also known as 10Sa RNA or SsrA, is named for its dual tRNA and mRNA-like properties. Its role is to liberate the mRNA from a stalled ribosome.
Source: Rfam